This is a long non-coding RNA of Helianthus annuus (common sunflower), 684 nucleotides long. RefSeq lists it as uncharacterized. The transcript is spliced from 3 exons. The record is from RefSeq and is a predicted model, not a curated record. NCBI's taxonomy places the organism in Eukaryota, Viridiplantae, Streptophyta, Magnoliopsida, Asterales, Asteraceae.
UGUUGAUUAUCUCUAUUUAGGCUGUGCGGUAUGGGGUUCGUCCCCACCGCGUCCCGGUAUGGCGCCGCCCCCUUCCCAUUUCGAGCCCUCCGUCGCCGCUCCUACAUCGUCACCAUCGUCGGGUUCUCGACGCCAAAGACGGUCAUCCCCUCUCUCACACACCAAUAAACCCCCAAAUCCAAAAUCAAACCCUUCUUCCGGAGCCACAAUCGGUGAAGCUGAGCAUGUAAUUGAAACAUUUCUCCGGUGAAGAAAGGUGCGACGGAAGGCGGUGGUGGUGUAGGUACGGCCGGCGGCGGUGAUGGACCUGAACGGCGGCGAUGUGAUAGGGUUUGAAGGUGUUGAUACAUAUUAAUGAAUUUAUUUUUCUGGGAUGGCAAGAGGGAAUACCUCUGUCCCUGCUAUGGAAAUGACCAAGUGGUUCGACACCAACUAAUCAAUGGCGUCUCACAUUGUCGGUUAUCCCCGUAUGGGUCCCAAGAGAAAGUUGAAAUUCGCUCUCGAAUCAAUUCUGGGAUGGCAAGAGCGGUGCCGAGGAUCUGCAGACUGUUGCUGCUGAUCUCAGAUCAUUCAUCUGGAAACAAAUGGCUGCUGCUGGCAUCAAGUACAUUCCCAGCAACACUUUCUCGUACUACGAUCAGGUUCUUGACACCACCACCAUGAUUGGUGCGGUCCCACCGAGGU